Long non-coding RNA from Rhagoletis pomonella (apple maggot), 586 nucleotides. RefSeq lists it as uncharacterized. The transcript has 2 exons. Lineage: Eukaryota; Metazoa; Arthropoda; Insecta; Diptera; Tephritidae. The record is from RefSeq and is a predicted model, not a curated record.
AAAAACGUUGUUUCGGAAAAAUGGCCUAUCGAUAUAGAGCCACCAGAGUUUGAGGAUCUAGAGUACGAUGGUCUAGAAAAUUUAGCCGGAUACAUAUGCCACCGAUUGCGAGACGAUAUCCCCAGCACCUCACUCAAAGGCGCAGAUGAUCCCUCCUACACAUGGGUAAAUCACUUAAGUGAAGGAGGAUUAUCUGUACCUAGCAGCAGUAUGAUGGAACAUAUAAGCAAUCUAGAAUCAGUAUUCAGAGCAAUGAACGAAGAUGGUUUGCUCAUUACAAAUGAUUUUGUAAAAAAACAUAUUGAGCAGGCCUCUAGUAUAAAUUGCGACAUUAAAAUAAAAAAAAUAUUUUUUAGGGCGAGAAUGUUUUUUACGUUAAGAAAACUUAAUAAAAAACUAAUUGAAAACGCCCGCACAAAAAAAAGAAAAUAUACAAAAAUACUGACCUAGAUUUGCUUGUAUUGGUCCAGAAAACUGAAACUGUCUGAUGUCGCUUCAUAUUAAUGUUCUUUUAAUGUUCAAGUUCGUAACGAGAACGGUUCUUCAGUUCAUCCGUUUAAUAUAAAGGCCCUUUUCAGGGCCGCAA